GACGAACGCUGGCGGCGUGCCUAAUACAUGCAAGUAGAACGCUGAAGAGAGGAGCUUGCUCUUCUUGGAUGAGUUGCGAACGGGUGAGUAACGCGUAGGUAACCUGCCUUGUAGCGGGGGAUAACUAUUGGAAACGAUAGCUAAUACCGCAUAACAAUGGAUGACACAUGUCAUUUAUUUGAAAGGGGCAAUUGCUCCACUACAAGAUGGACCUGCGUUGUAUUAGCUAGUAGGUGAGGUAAUGGCUCACCUAGGCGACGAUACAUAGCCGACCUGAGAGGGUGAUCGGCCACACUGGGACUGAGACACGGCCCAGACUCCUACGGGAGGCAGCAGUAGGGAAUCUUCGGCAAUGGGGGCAACCCUGACCGAGCAACGCCGCGUGAGUGAAGAAGGGUUUCGGAUCGUAAAGCUCUGUUGUAAGUCAAGAACGGGUGCGAGAGUGGAAAGUUCACACUGUGACGGUAGCUUACCAGAAAGGGACGGCUAACUACGUG
RNAcentral lists this ribosomal RNA (497 nucleotides) under uncultured bacterium. RNAcentral describes it as "partial 16S ribosomal RNA". It matches the Rfam family "Bacterial small subunit ribosomal RNA", at positions 28 to 507 of the family's 1533-position model. The record is from RNAcentral.